Molecule: transfer RNA, 73 nt
Organism: Ovis aries (sheep)
Lineage: Eukaryota; Metazoa; Chordata; Mammalia; Artiodactyla; Bovidae
Rfam family: tRNA
About the family: Transfer RNA (tRNA) molecules are approximately 80 nucleotides in length. Their secondary structure includes four short double-helical elements and three loops (D, anti-codon, and T loops).
Source: Rfam
UCCCUGGUGGUCCAGUUGCUAAGACUUUGUGCUCCCAGUGCAGGGGGCCCAGGUUCAAUCCCUGAUCAGGGAA